Molecule: ribosomal RNA, 433 nt
Filed under: uncultured bacterium
Lineage: Bacteria
Description: partial 16S ribosomal RNA
Rfam family: Bacterial small subunit ribosomal RNA
Source: RNAcentral
AACGAACGCUGGCGGCAUGCCUAACACAUGCAAGUCGAACGAGACCGUCGGGUCUUGCGGCGCCCGGGUGCGUAACGCGUGGGAACCUUCACGUAGGUUCGAAAUAACUCCCCGAGGGGGGUGAUAAUUGCGGAUAAUGUCUUCGGCCCAAUGAUGUAUCGCCUUUGGAUGGGCCCGCGUGGGAUUAGCAAGUUGGUAAGGUAAAAGCCUACCAAGGCGACGUUACCUAGCUGGUCUGAGAGUAUGAUCAGCCACCCUGGGACUGAGACACGGCCCAGACUCCUACGGGAGGCAGCAGUGGGGAAUAUUGGACAAUGGGCGAAAGCCUGAUCCAGCAAGGCCGUGUGAGUGAUGAAGGCCUUAGGGUUGUAAAGCUCUGUUACCCGGGAUGAUAAUGACAGUACCGUGAGAAUAAGCUCCGGCUAACUCCGUG